Long non-coding RNA from Rana temporaria (common frog), 1165 nucleotides. RefSeq lists it as uncharacterized. The record is from RefSeq and is a predicted model, not a curated record. The transcript has 2 exons. NCBI's taxonomy places the organism in Eukaryota, Metazoa, Chordata, Amphibia, Anura, Ranidae.
UGAAUUCAUCGCCUGCAUCACAAACAUGAAUUCACCAACAAAUGGAAGAGGAUGGAUUGAAGUACUACAACAACCCCUGACUAUAAAUUGAUGUACUGAUCAGGGAGUAUUGAUGUCCAUUGGGUCAGGAGGAUUAACCAUUGACUUGGAUACUAAUAAGAAAAGAUGGGAGAUGGUCCAUUCCUGGAGUUGAUUAUUGACUGCGCUUUUUGACCUUAUGGUCAAAUCUGUUUGGUAAGAGGCUAUCCAUGUGGAUUGAGGGUGAAGGACUCUUUGUCACAUCUCUAUAAGCACCAUCAACUACUGGUCUCUACUUAAGGACUUUAUGGACUUUUCUGACCAAUUCUGAUUGUUUUGCACUAUUCUCAGUUUAUUUCUUGUUUGUACCUUGUCAGACUGUGUCUGCUUUUUAGUUAUCAGCACUGCACUUUUUUUUAUAUCUUUUUAUUUUUGUCCAAGAUCAAUAUAGUGGCAACUGUUUUAACAGCGCUUUACAACUUAAGGGCAAACAGUACAGUUACAAUAUGAUUCAGAACAGGAGGAAUCAGAGGGCCCUGCUCGUUAGAGCUUACAAUCUUUUUGCUCAUAUUAUUGCCUACAAUAUAGUGUCAGCUGUUUAUUGCUAUUUUGAGCCUUAGCGCAGAUACUAUAUGUGUUUUUUAUAUAUGUGUAUGUAUGCACAUCUGAUAGGGACCUUAGAUUGUAAGCUCCUUGAAUGCAAGGACUGACUUGAAUGUACAAUAUGUAAAGUUAUGCAUAAAUUGCUGACACUAUAUACCAUAAAUACUUGUAAUACCUUGCAUGUCCUUGAAUUAAUAAAAUGACCUCUACAAUUGUAAUACAGAGGAGCUGUAUACAGUAUGUACACAUUCACUGGUUUUCACUUAAAUAAAUGAAAACCUCAGAAACACAUGCUUCUGCAGUAAGUAAGUAAAUCAAUUAACACAGCAUGUAUAUAAAAAUGUAGGCGUACCAAUAACAAACAGCAAGCAAUGUAUGUAUUCUUAGAAAAGAGAUGCCUUGGUAUUAAAUUGCUCAAAGGAUAUAUACACACAACUUGUAAAAUUGUAAGUUUCGACUUGUUCUACUUGCUAUGCCGGUGUAUAUACAUGGGCUAAACUUGUAUAUAUGGCCUGGUAAUUAUUAAAAGAAAACAUAUUUUGUA